UACAGAGGGGGCAAGCGUUAUUCGGAAUUAUUGGGCGUAAAGGGCGCGUAGGCGGCUUGGCAAGUGGAUGGUGAAAUCCCCUCGGCUUAACCGAGGAACUGCCGUCCAAACUGCUUCGCUUGAGACCGGGAGAGGUGAGUGGAAUUCCCAGUGUAGCGGUGAAAUGCGUAGAUAUUGGGAGGAACACCAGUGGCGAAGGCGGCUCACUGGACCGGUACUGACGCUGAUGCGCGAAAGCGUGGGGAGCAAACGGGG
RNAcentral lists this ribosomal RNA (255 nucleotides) under uncultured bacterium. RNAcentral's name for it is "partial 16S ribosomal RNA". It matches the Rfam family "Bacterial small subunit ribosomal RNA", at positions 524 to 777 of the family's 1533-position model. The record is from RNAcentral.